Carlito syrichta (Philippine tarsier) is the source of this 1104-nucleotide RNA transcript. It is a transcript of the gene named 26S protease regulatory subunit 7 pseudogene, with no coding region annotated. The transcript has a single exon. Lineage: Eukaryota; Metazoa; Chordata; Mammalia; Primates; Tarsiidae. The record is from RefSeq and is a predicted model, not a curated record.
CAGCACACCCUUGGGAGGCUCAAUGCCAAGAUUAACAAACCUCUCUGGAUGAAGUAGAGGGGUUUCAACUACUUCUGGUAGUUUCUCAAUCUGUUCCUUAUAGCCACCAACAUCACUGUAUGUGACAUCAGGUUUUUCCUCCACCUGCAUCAUGGUAACUGUUGGGUCAAUCUUAGGAGGUAAUGGAAUAUGAAUUUGGUAUUUAUUUCUGUCCACACCAACUCUCAUCCCUUCUUCCAUGUCAGUAGGUGCCACCUGAUCACUAAGGUCCACCACAAACUUGGCAAACUGCUUUACGUUGAUAAUGUAUUUUGGGUCCUCCAAAUCAGCAUUGAUUAUCUUUGGUCCACCUGGUACAGGCAAGACACUUUGUGCUCGGGCAGUUGCUAAUAGGACUGAUGCCUACUUCAUUCGAGUUAUUGGAUCUGAGCUUGUACAGAAAUAUGUUGGUGAGGGGGCUCGAAUGGUUUGUGAACUCUUUGAAAUGGCCAGAACAAAAAAAAACCUGCCUUAUCUUCUUUGAUGAAAUUGAUGCUGUUGGAGGGGCUCGGUUUGAUGAUAGUGCUGGAGGUGACAAUGAAGUGCAGAGAACAAUGUUGGAACAGAUCAAUCAGCUGGAUGGUUUUGAUUCUCGAGGCAAUAUUAAAGUGCUGAUGGCUACUAACAAACCUGAUACUUUGGAUCCAGCACUGAUGAGGCCAGGGAGAUUGGAAAGAAAGAUUGAAUUUAGCUUACCUGAUCUAGAGGGUAGGACUCACAUCUUUAAGAUUCAUGCCCGUUCAAUGAGUGUUGAAAGAGAUAACAGAUUUGAAUUGUUAGCACGGCUGUGUCCAAAUAGUACUGGUGCUGAAAUUAGAAGUGUCUGUACAGAAGCUGGCAUGUUUGCUAUCAGAGCAUGGCGAAAAAUUGCUACUGAAAAGGAUUUCUUGGAAGCUGUAAAUAAGGUCAUUAAGUCUUAUGCCAAAUUCAGUGCCACUCCCUGCUACAUGACAUACAACUGAGUCCUGAAGGAUUUCAAGUGAAAACACUUAUAAGUGAAGUCCUAACCUUAUAUAGACUUGUUAAUAACCACUUUGCAAAAAAAAAAAAAAUGACUUCAAAAUU